Molecule: ribosomal RNA, 437 nt
Filed under: uncultured bacterium
Lineage: Bacteria
Description: partial 16S ribosomal RNA
Rfam family: Bacterial small subunit ribosomal RNA
Source: RNAcentral
CUACGGGAUGCUGCAGUGGGGAAUAUUGCACAAUGGAGGAAACUCUGAUGCAGCAACGCCGCGUGGAGGAUGACACUUUUCGGAGCGUAAACUCCUUUUAUAUAGGAAGAUAAUGACGGUACUAUAUGAAUAAGCACCAGCUAACUCCGUGCCAGCAGCCGCGGUAAUACGGAGGGUGCAAGCGUUACUCGGAAUCACUGGGCGUAAAGAGCGUGUAGGCGGGUUAAUAAGUCAGAAGUGAAAUCCUAUGGCUCAACCAUAGAACUGCUUUUGAAACUGUUAACCUAGAGUGUGGGAGAGGUAGAUGGAAUUUCUGGUGUAGGGGUAAAAUCCGUAGAGAUCAGAAGGAAUACCGAUUGCGAAGGCGAUCUGCUGGAACAUAACUGACGCUGAGACGCGAAAGCGUGGGGAGCAAACAGGAUUAGAUACCCGUAGUC